CUUUAAGUGUUUAAGGAGAUAGAGCAGCUCCCUCAUGAGUAGAGACUAACAAGGCUGAAACUCUUCUUUAGAAAGGAAAAAGCUGAGUAAGAUUCGGUCAAGAUUUAUGAAACUGAGAAGGAAGUAGAUAGAUACACAACUGUUAUUCAUUAGGUCCUAUAAUCCAAAAACCAGGUGACACUCGCUGUAACAACUAUCAAAAUAGAUUAAAAGUUUCCAAACUGCGUGUGCAAAUAAUAACAUCUGAAGCCAUUCAUACCCUGCUUAAAAGAAGAACAAGAACACCAAGUGCUGUCAUGAACUGAACUACACAUGCGUAGACAUCCAGGCAAGCCAAAUCCAGACACCUGUGUUGAACGAUGUUGCUAAAGGUAAGUGAAGAACAUGCACCAACCUUCGACAUCUAAUAGCGGAACCAUUAAAU
This 424-nucleotide long non-coding RNA is filed under the name Gallus gallus (chicken). RNAcentral's name for it is "lncRNA (ENSGALG00010005840.1)". The record is from RNAcentral. Lineage: Eukaryota; Metazoa; Chordata; Aves; Galliformes; Phasianidae.